ACCUAGGCUCUGAUACCAACAUGACCUGACCUAAAAUUGGACCAUGUCAUAUGGGCACCUCAAGCUCACAUGAACCAGAGGUCACCCCUAUAACUCAACCAAAAUCAUCGCAUCAAACAUAAGAGUCAGAUGGAUUCUGACUAUAAAGUAGGAUAGCAGAGCACAUACUACUAAUCCUAACUUAAACAUGUCUUAAAAAUUCAUUUCAUUCAUCAAACUAGACAAGAUACCCAAGUCGCG
Molecule: long non-coding RNA, 240 nt
Filed under: Capsicum annuum
Lineage: Eukaryota; Viridiplantae; Streptophyta; Magnoliopsida; Solanales; Solanaceae
Description: long non-coding RNA (CANN_LNC009000)
Source: RNAcentral